AUGGUCUACAAGUGCAUAGACACAGUUGUGCCUCUGCUUACUAAACUCACUUGCAGUGCACUUUUUCUCUUAACUUAUGAUACAAAAGUAUGUCAUAGUGACAGUAACAUGAUUUUUGGUGGUGGCACGAAACUUACAGCGAUCGGGAAGAAGAGUGAAAUCAUACCACCGACUGUGGCCAUCUUUUCACCGUCAAAGCAGGAGAUUCAACAGAAGAAUAAGGCCACUCUGGUAUGCCUGGCCUCCGGUUUCUACCCUGAUCACCUCAAUUUAGUCUGGAAGGUGAAUGGCAACAAGAGGACAGAAGGAGUGGGAACAGAUGAGAUUUCCACAUCAAAUGGGAGCACUUACGCAUUGACCAGCAGACUGAGAAUCUCAGCCCAAGAGUGGUUCAACCCUCUGAACCGUUUUGAGUGUAUUGCUGAAUUUUUUCACGAUGGACAGAAAUCAAUACAUAAAUUCAUCCAUGGUGAUACUGGAUGUAUGCUUACUAAAGAGUCCUACUUGCAUUAUGGAAAUUCUAUGAAGCUCACUUACCUCAUUCUGUGUGGCAAAGCCUUCCUCUAUGCAAUUUUGGUGUGCGCUCUGAUGUGGAAAGUCAAGGCUGGUAGCAAGCCAUAUAAAGAAUAAGUGAAUAAUCUCCUCCAUCUCAUCAACAGGAAAACAACAAAUUCCACGUUUUUCUUUUCUGCAGUAGAGUCCAAGCUUGUAAUAUCCUCUUUCUUGAUGGUUCUCUGUUCUCUCCUGUUCUUUCAGCUUUGUUUUAAUCACUGCCAGAUUUCCCAUGGACAUGCAGGAUAAUCUCUAUCCUAGCUUUAAAACACCUCCUUACUGCUCAGAGGUGUCAGCUUCUUAAAUCAGGAAUAAAGUUUGUGUCACUCCA
Lagopus leucura (white-tailed ptarmigan) is the source of this 883-nucleotide non-coding RNA. The record is from the annotation of a RefSeq genome assembly. NCBI's taxonomy places the organism in Eukaryota, Metazoa, Chordata, Aves, Galliformes, Phasianidae.